This 70-nucleotide transfer RNA is filed under the name Aphyosemion kouamense. RNAcentral describes it as "tRNA-Ile". It matches the Rfam family "tRNA". From Rfam's summary of the family: Transfer RNA (tRNA) molecules are approximately 80 nucleotides in length. The record is from RNAcentral. Lineage: Eukaryota; Metazoa; Chordata; Actinopteri; Cyprinodontiformes; Nothobranchiidae.
GGAGUUGUGCCUGAAUUAAAGGAUUACUUUGAUAGAGUAAAUAAUAAGGGUGAGAGCCCCUUCAGCUCCU